GAUGAAGAACGCAGCGAAAUGCGAUAAGUAAUGUGAAUUGCAGAAUUCAGUGAAUCAUCGAAUCUUUGAACGCACAUUGCGCCCCCUGGUAUUCCGGGGGGCAUGCCUGUCCGAGCGUCAUUACAACCCUCAAGCUCAGCUUGGUGUUGGGCCCCGCCGUCCCGGCGGGCCCUAAAGUCAGUGGCGGUGCCGUCCGGCUCCGAGCGUAGUAAUUCUUCUCGCUCUGGAGGUCCGGUCGUGUGCUCGCCAGCAACCCCCAAUUUUUUCAGGUUGACCUCGGAUCAGGUAGGGAUACCCGCUGAACUUAAGCAUAUCAAUAAGCGGAGGA
RNAcentral lists this unclassified non-coding RNA (328 nucleotides) under soil metagenome. Its description in RNAcentral is "partial contains 5.8S ribosomal RNA, internal transcribed spacer 2, and large subunit ribosomal RNA". The stretch from base 1 to 120 matches the Rfam family "5.8S ribosomal RNA", at positions 35 to 154 of the family's 154-position model. The record is from RNAcentral.